AUUUAAAUAGUUUAAGAAAAAUUUUGAUUUGUGGUGUCAAAGAUGUAGGAAAUACUUUAGAUU
This 63-nucleotide transfer RNA is filed under the name Neochauliodes punctatolosus. RNAcentral's name for it is "tRNA-His". Lineage: Eukaryota; Metazoa; Arthropoda; Insecta; Megaloptera; Corydalidae. The record is from RNAcentral. RNAcentral also lists the same sequence under 2 other names.